This 253-nucleotide ribosomal RNA is filed under the name uncultured bacterium. RNAcentral's name for it is "partial 16S ribosomal RNA". It matches the Rfam family "Bacterial small subunit ribosomal RNA", at positions 524 to 776 of the family's 1533-position model. The record is from RNAcentral.
GACAGAGGGUGCAAACGUUGUUCGGAAUUACUGGGCGUAAAGCGCGUGUAGGCGGCCCUGCAAGUCGGAUGUGAAAUCCCACGGCUCAACCGUGGAAGUGCAUUCGAAACUGCAGGGCUAGAGUCCUGGAGAGGAAGGUGGAAUGCUUGGUGUAGAGGUGAAAUUCGUAGAUAUCAAGCGGAACACCGGUGGCGAAGGCGGCCUUCUGGACAGUGACUGACGCUGAGACGCGAAAGCGUGGGGAGCGAACCGG